CUUUAUAUAUUCUUUCGGGAGGGAGGCCGGCCCCAGUGGCCAGGCACUAUUAGCAUAUCCCACCGCAACCCCCGCGGGGGCUGUCUGGACAAACCUCCGCCUUUCCUCUACAGACAAUCUGCUGUGUACUGCCCCUUUUGACGCUAAUGGUUUUACUGUAUUUCUGCUGGGGCGGCAGUGGGUCCCCAACCUGCUCAUUUGCACUCUCUAGAUAGGCUAAAACAAGGGAUCACUUAAGGAGUGUUUCACACAAAAGUGACCAAGGCAGUCCAACUUUUUGCAAUUGGACACACAUUUUAAAAUAGUGGUAAUAAAUAGAAAUCCCUUUCAGCUGGCACCAAGAGCCGACCUGCCCUCCCAAUCCUGGGCGUGAGGAAUCACCUGAUUUGGGGGUGUUUGUUUCUCUUUUUCAUGAACUUCAAUUAUCUCGAAAACUUUUUCCAGCAAUUGGAUUGAAUAACGGUUACUAAAAACUUGAAGUGGCAUUUUCAAUCUUGGAGUGAAUACAGGGUUUGCCUUUCCAAAUCUAUUUUGUAUAGCUUCAGAUGAGUAAAGUUUUGCUCAGAUUGUCAUUUAUUCUAGGCUCUACCUUAUUGAGAGUAGGGAGGGAGGUUCCUUUUCCCAUGACUGGGCUUGCUCUGAGUUCUCCCUGUAUGUCUGCUCAUCUAAAAGGAGGUGGGGCACAGGAGGGCCAGGUGACCAGGAACAUUCCUCCCGUUCUUGCUUCCUUCAUUUUCCCCUUCUGUACGUAUUUGUUGAGCACCUUCUCCUUUGUGCCAGGCCUUCCCUAGAUCCUGAGCAGGCCAAAGACCUGCACUGAAAGUGUCUCUAAGAUUUCCAACAGAAGAAGCCCAGUUUUCGACGGCAAACUCCCUUUCCAGGGAUGGUACUAAUUUGAACACAUCAUUCCAUGCUUCCUGGAGUAAUCACACAGCUUGCUUAGAUUUUCUAAACAUGACUGAACUGUGAUGAAGCGAUCAACAUUAACUGCCAAGACUCCACAUAGCAAUGAUGUGCUGGCCACCCACUGGGAAAACACCUGUCACCCCUUGAUGGACCUUUCUGACACUGUUUGCCUGUCCUCAAAAGUUCCUGAAAUAUUUACCAGUCAGCAUCUUGGAAAAAACAAAUAAUGGGGCCUUCUCAGAGUGAGGAAGCUUCCUGGAGGGUCAUCAGGACACUACAGAAGAGCUAAUCCAACAUGGAUCUCUAAAACUAUGCAAUUAAGACGAGUGUGGUGGCUCACACCUGUAAUGCCGGCACUUCGGGAGACCAAGGCGGUUGGAUCACUUGAGACCAGGAGUUUAAGGUCAGCCUGGGCAACAUGGCAAAACCCUGUCUCCACUAAAAAUAAAAAAAUUAGCCCUGCGUGGUGGGCAGACCUGUGGUCCCAGCUUUCAGGAGGCUGAGGCACGAGAAUUGCUUGAGCUCAGGAGGCGGAGGCUGAAGUGAGCCAAUAUCGGCAACUGCACUCCAGCCUGGGCAACAGAGCAAGACUGUGUCUCAAAAAAAUAAAUAAAAUAAAAUAAAUAAAAUAAAAUAAAGCUAUGCUAUUAGCUCAAGUAAUCUAAUUGCAUUACAUCAAUUUUAAAAAUUAUUUUCAAAAAUGUAUUUCAAUGUUAUCUGCUACCUUGCAUCACUACCUUCUUGCCCUGAUUUUCACAGCAAAAUCUUGUACAUAAGUAUCUACCAACUGUAAAAAAAAAGCCUCAGAUUAUGUUCCAUAGAUAAUGCAGAAUCAAGGCAAUUACCUGGAAAUGGAUAUCAAAAAUAAAUUUUUAUCUCAAAUAGAUAUUUUAGUAAAAAGAAGCUUGUUGUUAUAAAUUAUGUUAAUAAAAACAUAGUAGUUCACUUCAGUUUGCAUAUAUAUAGUUUCAACAUCUAGCUUGGUUUACUCCCAAGAGACAAAAUUAAGCUAAAAAAAUUUUUUUCAGAUGCCUCAUCUGUUUAGGGUUUAUUUUUCUUUUGCAGUUUAGGAUUGUGGCUGAUAUUUUAAUAAAUAAGUUAGAAAAAUAGGGUAGCAUGAAUAUUAAUUAAAACAAUUCAGAAUAUAUCAAAUAUGUAAGAGGUUAUUUGCUAUAAAACUGAUAACUAAAAGAAAGAGAAAGGAGACAGAAUUGAACUGUCACCAAGGCUCGAACUCCAUUUUCCUAGUAGCUGUUACCGAAUUGCAGAUAACACAUAAAUCUCUGUGCUGAAGUGUGAGCUCUCUAAUCAAAGGAGCAAUCUUCUGAGCAAUCCUGAAGCUCAAAGUGUUCACUCCCUUUGAGCAAACCCUGUGUAGGAAAUUCGUAUGUAGGAAAUUCAUUUUUGACACUGCUAUAAUAAGUUGUUACUCUUGCUUUCAGCUGGCUUAGUUUUAAAAUCUGUUUUAUUCUUAUUAGCUUAAAAAUAUUAUAAUUAUUAUGUGUUCCAUUAUGUUUUAUUUUCAUUUAUAAAAAAGCAUAUGUUCUAUAUCCUGAUUUUUUUCUCUUAUCAUGUUAACACCAAUGAUCUAUAUCAUAAUGUUUUUGUAGUUGCAUAAUUUGGAUAUAUCAUAGUUAUUUAGUCAUUCUAUGAGUUAACUUUCAGGCUUUUUCUCUUUUUUAUUUCUUUAGCUAUUAUUAACAAUGAUGCCAUAGUUAUCCUUAAAGAAGUAUCUUUUCAUAAUAGUACUUUUAUUUCUACAUAUUAAAUUGUGAUUCCUUUUAAACUUCUUUAAAUUUAAAUAUAUAUAUUUUUUAGCGACAAGGUCUUGUUAUGUUGCCUAGGCUGGACUUGAAUCCUGGGCUCAAGGUAACCUACCACCUUAGCCUUCCUUCAGAGUAGCUGGUACUACAGGCAUGCAACCCUACACCAGGAUACAAAUUGUGUGUUUCUUGAGUCAAAUGGUUUGAAUGCUUUUUAAAAUUUUAAGAUUACUACUCCAAAAUGAUUACUGUAUCAAAUUUUAAGUUAUAAUAAUUAUAAUUAUUUAGAAUCAUACCACCAAUGUGUGAGAGUACCCAUUUUGACAAACUCACAUAAAUCUCUGGAUAUUAUAAAUAUAGUUAGAUUUUAGUAGAUUUUUAGUUAGAUUUUAGUUAGCCAUUCCUGGCUGUGAGUGAGACAGAAUGUCUUCUUACAUGUUUGUUCGUCAUUUGUGAUCCAUUAAAACAAAUAAUCACAAAAAUAAACUUAUUUAUGGUUUUUUAUAUUUCAUUUUAGUCUUUUAAAUGAAAAACAUUAUUAGUCUGAGCUCUUUAGACACCAUUCGUUAGACAGUGCAAGCAAAGUUAACUUUCACACCUUCUGAAUUUAGAGAUGAUAUGUACAAAAUCAAUAUUCAACAAAAUCCAACAAAAUGUAAUUAGCAUCUACUUUGUGUCGGGCACUACUUUAGGCAUAAAUAUGAGUAAGAUACAGCCCCUAUCCUCAAAAUAGAGAGAUAAAGCAGUAAAUAAUUCUAAAACAAUUUGCUAAUGACAAUGUGACUUCCUUAAGGACAAGGACAAUAACUUUUUCCCUUAGUAGCUAAAAGUAAAGAACAAAGAAAGAAAUGAGCAAAGAAAUUAGUUGUGACCACAGUAUAAAAAAAGAGAAUAAGGCAUGGCCCCAGAGAUCCAGGAAAUUAUUCACUAGAAAGCCAGUUUGUAAAGUUUGAGAGUAGGAUAGGGAGUUGAGGGAGGUGGGAGAAGAAGAGAGGAGGCCUACAGGACAAAGCAGGUCUAACUCUUACAUAUCCAAAGUCAUAAACUGUGUACAAAGUGAGGGAAUAUAAAUGUUACACAAUAAUUAUUAUCUAAAAUAUAUUACUUUUCAACACUGGCCAAAUCUCCCAACCCAGUGACUGUUUUCAAACUGAGAUGAAACUUGAGGGAAGUCCUCAGUAAAAUGAUUUUACUUAUUUAACUCUAAACCUAUUUUUGAAUAGGUUUCGAAGCUUUUUCUAAUUUAGGAAAUGAAAAAAAAAUUUAAUUACUUUGAAAUUAUUCUGUAAAAAUACAAGAUGUAGUUGUUCUGUCUUUACUCAUGGGUAACGCCA
RNAcentral lists this long non-coding RNA (4003 nucleotides) under Homo sapiens (human). RNAcentral's name for it is "HSALNT0192053". Lineage: Eukaryota; Metazoa; Chordata; Mammalia; Primates; Hominidae. The record is from RNAcentral.